AAUUUCUGGUUGCAGAAAUGUUUUCAACAUGUUGAAAAAUUUGCGGCGACCAUACUGAGGCUGCGACUAGUUCCCAGAAUGCGGGAACUCCUCGCGACCAUGAAGGAGUCUCACCAGAGAUCACCAGCGAACAUAUGGUGACCAUGAGGCGAGCGCAGAGUCUCCU
Amblyraja radiata (thorny skate) is the source of this 166-nucleotide long non-coding RNA. RefSeq lists it as uncharacterized. Lineage: Eukaryota; Metazoa; Chordata; Chondrichthyes; Rajiformes; Rajidae. The transcript is spliced from 2 exons. The record is from RefSeq and is a predicted model, not a curated record.